CUGGACCCAUUCCGGGGCAGGCAGACUUGGAAGCAGAUCUCUCUAGCUGCCCUGCCUACAUUUCUCCUGGUCGUGAUCACGGCAAGGCUGUCCCUGUAGACUUCUCCAACAGUCUCUGCGCAACAAACUACAGACAGAAUGAACAACAGAUAUGAAGACACGUACCUCCAGCGCGCCCUGAAACGCCAGGUGCGGUCCCUGCGGAGGAUCUGCAACAUGUGCGUGCUGGGCAUCCAGAGGAUGAAGCAGAUGCAGAUCAAGAUUGACUCACUAUCGUCAGUCAAGAAAAUGAUCGCAUGGCACUGAUCGGGAAAAGACUUGGCGAGGAAGGUGCCGUGCUGGCAGCAGGAGGCUGAGGAGACAUUUCGAACGUUGGGGACACAUGGAACAACAGGCGUGGUGUCUCGAUGUGGAGUGUCAACUUACACUUUGCAUACCGGAUGUCAUUGGAGGAACAUCGGCUUAUACUUAAGGAGAGACAUUCAAGUUCAACGUGUUCCUUCUACGUUUUAUGAACACUUCAUCAUUAUUCACCCCACUCCCCUUCUAUGUAUCUCAAAUAUAGCUAUAAAGCUACUUUAGCGAGCACUAAAUACUGGAGAUUUUAGUAAAUAGUAUUCCUAACUCAUUGCCUAUUGAAAGUAUUUGACACAGAUGGCAUUUGAUGCGAGCUAAAAGCGGAAGAAAGAUGGGAGCAAAUGGCUUUAACGUGCACUAGAAUAAGCAGCAGUAGGAAAGGUAUUACGAGGUGGAGAAACAUAUUGUUGGCUGGUUGGUUUGCUUUUCCGAAAAAGCAGGAUAGCAGGAUAAGAGUUGUAUGUCAGAAGCGGAGAUGAUAGGCAGGCAAAUGCAACGACAUUACACAAAUUAUGGCGUUUAUGAUAGGAUAAAAGGAACUAACACAUUGUUUCCGAUAAACGUAGUACUAUAUAUAUUUAUAGAUAUGCGUUUUGCAUGGUUUGAGCAGGCUUUGGACUAAGUUAUGUAAAUAUGGCUAAGAAUUUCAUGUCUCUAUACAGGCACAUUUGUGUCAUACAAUCAUCCGCUCCAACCAAAUGGACCAAACUGACAGUGUGUAAAUAGUCUCGCUCCGGGCCCGGCCUGACUCAAUUUUACGAGGCAGACCGUUGAAAUUCAAACACAGGAAAAUAACCGCAAAUAAUUUCAUGGGGUUGGUACAAUAUAGGCUAUAGGAGAAUUCUUUUCACAGACAGUAUGUACUUACCUUGCUUACGUUUCGAUGUCUCUAAGACACCUUCCUCAGAGCUUCUAACUGGAGUUCUGCUUUUCGCCGCUAUAUGUAUAGCCGACAAUCCCAGUCAUCCCCAGAGAUGAACCUGGGCGGGGGAUACAAACUUAGUCACGUUUGGGAUUGUGUUCUCGCCACAAAAGUGCCACCUACAUCGGCUACAUAUAGCAACGAGAAGCAAAAUUCCAGUUAGAAGCUCUGAGGAAGGUGUCUGAGAGACGUCAAAACGUAAGCAAAGUGACUACAUACUGUCUGUGUAAAGGAAUUCUCAUAUAUCCUACAGUAAAAAACAACUUAGAAACAACAAUUCCCAGAAGAGAUUAUACUUUGGUUUCAAUUUGAUACUUGACGCCUAUAAUUAGUCUCCAAGCAAAUCUUUCGGUUGGCAAGAAAAUUUCUACUGGUCGAACCGGUAGCCCUGGAUAUUAUUUCGGUCAGCGCGUGCUAUCUUGCCAACUGAAAGAUCAGCUGAUUAGCCUGGAUCAUUGUCAAAAGUGUAAUUACUGGUCAAAAGUGUAAUUAUUUGGUAAUUACUUGUCAAAAGUGUAAUUUCACACGUUAGCCUGGAACAUUGUCAAAAGUGUAGUUACCGAUCUAUUUUCGCACUGGCUGCGAUCCGGUCGUGUCUGUGAACAACCGUAGUGAAAUCAACAACACUAAUGUGAAAGGCUAAUGAUAGGUCUUUGCACAAGUCGUCACAUUUUGCAGACCGUUCGGACCCUUGAAAAGGUUACCUUGGGCAGUAACAUUAACAACGGUCAACCUGGGCAAUGUAAAUGCAGAGCUGUUCAAUACUUGAAAUAAACAAACGAAAUCAUA
Molecule: long non-coding RNA, 2068 nt
Organism: Branchiostoma floridae (Florida lancelet)
Lineage: Eukaryota; Metazoa; Chordata; Leptocardii; Amphioxiformes; Branchiostomatidae
Exons: 3
Source: RefSeq, a predicted model, not a curated record